GCUCACUUCAGCAGUCCAUACUAAAAUUGGAAUGAUGCAGAGAAGAUUAGCACGGCCCUUACGCAAGGAUGACAUGUAAAUUCACGAAGUGGUCCAUACUGUG
Small nuclear RNA from Diceros bicornis minor, 103 nucleotides. Lineage: Eukaryota; Metazoa; Chordata; Mammalia; Perissodactyla; Rhinocerotidae. The record is from RefSeq and is a predicted model, not a curated record.